GAUGAACGCUAGCGGCAGGCCUAAUACAUGCAAGUCGAACGGAUAUAUGUUUUUCGGAAUAUAUAUUAGUGGCGCACGGGUGAGUAACACGUACAUAACUUGCCCUCAAGCGGGGGAUAGCCUUGGGAAACUGAGAGUAAUACCCCAUAGAAUUAUUGGACGGCAUCGUUUGAUAAUUAAAACUACGGUGCUUGGGGAUAGAUGUGCGUCUGAUUAGCUAGUUGGUGAGGUAACUGCUCACCAAGGCGACGAUCAGUAGGGGGCGUGAGAGCGUGGCCCCCCACACGGGUACUGAGACACGGACCCGACUCCUACGGGAGGCAGCAGUGGGGGAAUUUUUGGACAAUGGGGGAAACCCGUAGAUCUAGCCAUGCCGCGUGAGCGAUGAAGGCC
RNAcentral lists this ribosomal RNA (393 nucleotides) under uncultured bacterium. RNAcentral describes it as "partial 16S ribosomal RNA". It matches the Rfam family "Bacterial small subunit ribosomal RNA", at positions 28 to 416 of the family's 1533-position model. The record is from RNAcentral.